RNAcentral lists this ribosomal RNA (428 nucleotides) under Reticulitermes flavipes (eastern subterranean termite). RNAcentral's name for it is "partial 16S ribosomal RNA". It matches the Rfam family "Archaeal large subunit ribosomal RNA", at positions 1889 to 2554 of the family's 2987-position model. Lineage: Eukaryota; Metazoa; Arthropoda; Insecta; Blattodea; Rhinotermitidae. The record is from RNAcentral.
CGCCUGUUUAUCAAAAACAUCUCUUCUCGUUAGUUUUUGAAGUAUGGCCUGCCCACUGACCUUGAAUGUUGAAGGGCCGCGGUAUUUUGACCGUGCAAAGGUAGCAUAGUCAUUAGUUCUUUAAUUGUGAUCUGGUAUGAAUGGCUUGACGAGGCAUGAGCUGUCUUAAUUUUGAAUUGUUUAUUGAAUUUGGUCUUUGAGUUAAAAUUCUUAGAUGUUUUUAUGGGACGAGAAGACCCUAUAGAGUUUAACAUUUAUUAUGGUCUCUUUCUGUUUGUGAGGGUUCAUUAGGGCUGUUUAAUAUGUUUUGUUGGGGUGAUGGGAGGGAUAUUAUUUAACCCCUCCUUUGUGUUGUUAUAUUUAUUUAUAUUUGCUUGAUCCAUUUAUUUUGAUUGUAAGAUUAAAUUACCUUAGGGAUAACAGCGUAA